Molecule: ribosomal RNA, 451 nt
Filed under: uncultured bacterium
Lineage: Bacteria
Description: partial 16S ribosomal RNA
Rfam family: Bacterial small subunit ribosomal RNA
Source: RNAcentral
GUGGGGAAUCUUCCGCAAUGGGCGCAAGCCUGACGGAGCAACGCCGCGUGAAUGAAGAAGGCCUUCGGGUCGUAAAGUUCUGUCUUUAGAGAAGAAGUCUCUCUAUGUGAAUAAUGUAGAGAGGUGACGGUACCUAAGGAGGAAGCUCCGGCUAACUACGUGCCAGCAGCCGCGGUAAUACGUAGGGAGCAAGCGUUGUCCGGAAUUACUGGGCGUAAAGGGCGCGUAGGCGGAUAAUUAAGUCAGGUGUGAAAACUCUGGGCUCAACCUGGAGAUUGCACUUGAAACUGGUUAUCUUGAGGGCAGGAGAGGAAAGUGGAAUUCCUAGUGUAGCGGUGAAAUGCGUAGAUAUUAGGAGGAACACCAGUGGCGAAGGCGACUUUCUGGACUGCACCUGACGCUGAGGCGCGAAAGCGUGGGGAGCGAACGGGAUUAGAAACCCGUGUAGUCC